Molecule: long non-coding RNA, 5309 nt
Filed under: Homo sapiens (human)
Lineage: Eukaryota; Metazoa; Chordata; Mammalia; Primates; Hominidae
Description: HSALNT0160538
Source: RNAcentral
AAUCUUUUGGAACCUCAUCACUAAAGUGAGAACCUGUCAACAUUGCUGUAUUCUAUCGGUUAGAAGCAAGUUACUCAAGGAGAGGGGAUUAUCAAGGGUAUCAGUACCAGGAUGCAUGGAUCCCUUGAAACCAUCUUAGAGGCUACCUACCAUGUAAACAAAACAAUUGUUACAUUAAAUUGUAGUAAGCAUAUUGACUUCUUCUCUCAAUAAAUAGAUGAAUUGUCCAGGGUUUCUGCAGACAGACCAAAGGUGAUGAUCCCACAUCAGCAACAAGAGUCAGGAGGAAGUCUUCAGAAGCAGGAAUGCAUAGAUCCAAGAAAGAUCAUAUGUGAAGCACCAGUCUAUGCUCUGUAUCUCGCCUUCCACUUUUCAAGGCAUCACUCUGAUGAAGAUCUCCUCCUUCAGCUGUGCUCUCCAUGGCCUCUGAACAUAUAACAUAGUCCUAGCUCACCCAAAUGAAACAAACAGGUAACACAAAAUCUUCCUCAAUCCUUUCUCCUUUAUCUUUUAAAUUUCUGUUUCAAUUUCCUAAAAGACUUUAUUUUUGUCUAAUUACACUAUCGAAACUGUUCCUUUCUAAAUCACCAUCCUCUUUUCAGCUUCCAGGAAGGGGCAGACUUUCCUAAGCCAUAAAAUAGUUCCAGUUUCAACCACCCACCAGGGGAACGGAGACCUACUCACCUUACAGCCAUGACACUAAGGUUUUUCUUUUCCAGACAAAGAAGAUCUGCUUCAAAAUGAUGGCUCUCUCAAUGGAGAAACCUGAAAAUGGCUGACAUCCUUUAAAGAAGACAGAUUCACACACACACACACACACACACACACACACACACACGCACGCACGCACACAUUCAUGCGAUCUUUUUCACCCAUCCCCACGUCCCCACAUUAAGCUACCGUUUUAUCACUUCUUCCACCUACCAGGACAUCUCUUUUUUUUUUUUUUUGAGACAGAGUUUUGCCCUUGUUGCCCAGGCUGGGGUGCAAUGGCACGAUCUCGGUUCACAGCAACUUCCGCCUCCCCAGUUCAAGCCAUUCUCCUGCCUCAGCCUACCAAGUAGCUGGGAUUACAGGCAUGCACCACUAUACCUGGCUAAUUUUGUAUUUUUAGUAGAGACAGGGUUUCUCCACGUUGGUUAGGCUGGUUUCUCCACGUUGGUUAGACGGGGUUUCUCCAUGUUGGUUGGGCUGAUCUCGAACUCCCGACCUCAGGUGAUCUGCCGCCUCAGCCUCCCAAAGUGCUGGGAUUACAGGCGUGCUGGGAUUACAGGCGUAAGCCACCACGCUGGCACAUCUCUCUUUUUUAAACUUUUAUUUUAGAUGCAAGGGAUACAUGUGCAAGUUUGUUACCUGGGUAUAUUGUGUGAUACUAAGGUCUGAGGUAUGAAUGAUCUUGUCACCCAGGUACUGAGCAUAGUACCUAAUAGUUUUUCAACCCUUGCCCUCUUCUCCUCCUCCCCCUCUAUUAGUCCCCAGUUUCUAUUGUUGCCAUCUUUGUGUCCAUGUGUAUUCAAUCUUGAUCUCCCACUUCUAAGUGAGGACAUGCAGUAUUCAGUGGUUUUGUUUCUGCAUCAGUUGGCUUAGGAUAACGGCCUCCAGCUGCAUCCCUGUUGCUGCAAAGGACAUGAGUUCAUCCUUUUUCAUGGCUGCAUAAUAUUCCAUGGUGUACACAUAUUAUAUUUUCUUUAUUCAAUCCCCCAUUGAUGGGCACUUAGAUUGAUUCCAUGUCUUUGCUAUUGUGAAUAGCACUGCAAUGAACAUGUGAAUGAAUGUGUCUUUUUGGUAGAAAGAUUUGCUUUCUUUUGGAUAUAUACCAAAUAAUGGGAUAAUAGGAUUGCUGUUCUUUGAGAAAUCUCCAAACUGCUUUCCACAGGGGCUGAAUUCAUUUGUACUCCCACCAACAGUGUAUAAGCAUUCCCUUUUGUUUGCAGCCUCUACAGCAUCUGUUGUUUUUUUUCACUUUUUAGUAGUAGCUAUUCUGACUGGUGUGAGAUGGUAUCUCAUUGUGGUUUUGAUUUUUAUUUCUUUGAUGGCCAGUGAUGUGGAGCAUUUUGUCAUAUGUUUGCUAGUUGCUUGUAUAUCUUCUUUUGAAAAGUGCAGGACAUCUCAAUAUUUACUUUAACUCAACUCUGUGUGUGUGUGUGUGUGUGUGUGUGUGCAGGUAGGGAGGAAAACAAGGACAGAAACCAGGAGGCCCAGCCCAGGAUUAAAAACACACCACAGCCUUUCCAAAAAGUCAGAGUCAUACAUGGAUCACUUGGAAAUAACUGAACUUGCAAAUCCAGUUUCCCAUGGACCUGCUGAGUUUAUGAGGAAAAGGUGGCUGUGGCCAUUACCAAGUUAUUAAAACCACAGAGAUCUUGACUUGUAUGGACUGAGAUGAGGCUUCCAUCAGCAUCUCGCAUAAAUAACAUAACACUGAUGCAGCAGAUGAACAUGGAAUCAGUGACAUCCACAAGAAGACAAUAGGCUUGGAGGAGAAACAGACCUUGACUUCAAGACACAACGCAGAGGGAAAUAUCGCUGAUACAAAGCUUGAAGAUGAUCAUCUAUGUACCCAUCGGGACAUUUUUAAAGGGACAAGUGGAAUGAGCGAAGACUUUGAAGACAGUCUUGUCUGCCAGGCACUCAGAUCAUCAGGAAGCAGAAAAGGAGAUGCAAGAUCAGGUUGAGAGAUCUUCGACGUCCUGCUUUUCCCUGGGGAGCACUUUCCCUGGAUGCAGCAAUUCAAGACCAAGCCCUAUAGCUUUAGAGGCUGCUGGAAAGAGAGCAGCAUGUAAGAUCCUAAAUAACUGGCUGAAUUAUAUUUAUUCAUUUGUUGACUUGUUUACUGUCUAUCUCAUCCAUACAAUAGAAAUUCCUGGAAGGCCCAUCUUGCCUAUUAUCAUAUCUCCAGUGCAUAAAACAGUUCCUGACACAUAGUAGACACUCUGUAAAUAAUUCUGGACUGAAUAAAUGGUGAGAUUUGAUGCCAAACUGAGGAGAAAAAAACUGCAACCCCAGCCCUCCCUGAAAGGGCCAACAUUUUAAAUCCAUUAGUCAUGCAAACCUUGAGGGUGAGUUUAUUUAAAUUAGUGAUAAGAACUAGCUGAAGUUAGCUAUGUGACAGGCUGAUGUUGUUUCACUGGAAGGGGAAGAAGGUAUUUGGGGCCCUAGGGCUCCACGGUGAGGUCCACGCCAGAAGAGUUGUCUAGGAGGCCAUGGAGGUAGUGAGGGGCACAAGGCAGAUGGGGAUAAAGAAGCAGAAAAUCUACAGCAGAAGAUGAGAGGGAAGUGGAAGACACUAGAAUAUCUUUACCACCUCCCAAAUUUUCCAGGACAACCUCUUUACAUGCAUGACUAUGAGUAAGUGUUUCAACAUUAAAUGCAACCUACUGUUAGCUUUCCCGGGACUAGUUACCCAGAAGGUUUUACUUCAUCUAAAAUGCAACCAAUAAUAGCAUUCAUAGCAAAUGCUUAUGUUGUAUUUACCCAGACACUAUUCACAUUGUUCUACACGCAUGAAUGCAUUUCACCCUUAGAACCCCCAAGUAGAGGAAAAAGAAAUUCAGGAGAUUAUGUGACUGAAUUAUCUAGGGAUGAUCAUGAGCUACGUUCCUUUCACCUGUGAGUAUCAAAUACUACUGGUGUCAGUAGAGGCAACAUGUCCCUCUUUCUAGAUGCUCCUCUUCCUGUGUGUGUUGUGUUGGGUUGUGGGGGAAGUCUUAGUGAGAAGUUCCUGGACUUAAGAAAGGUAGAGUAGCUCCCAGGUAAACAGAACCUGCUUGGAAACAGGUCUAAUCUCUUACAAAAUCACAGAGCCCAAAGAAUGUAAAGGCCCUGAGAGGAACUAAGUCUAAUAGCUCCACCGAGUGAUGCACGGAGAGUUCCCGGAACAGUCCUUCAGCUUGCUGGCUGCACAGGAAACUGUGUGAUGUGUGCUGUACCCACAUUUCUCAUCUGUCCUCAGAACACAGUAAAUAUCAGCUGGCUUUGCUCAUCGGAGAGGUGUGGGGUAUGGAAGGGACAAGAGAAGAGAGAAAGGGAGACAAUAGAACAAUAACUGAUCUCUCCUUUCUGGUAUUACUGUUAUAACAGCACAAUGGCAAUUGAGCAAUCAAUUCCAAACUUUUAAAAGUCUUUUUCUUUUCUCAACUUAAAAUCAAAGCUUGCGCUGGGCGUGGUGGCUCACACCUAUAAUCCCAGCACUUUGGGAGGCCAAGGCUGGUGGAUCACCAGGUCAAGAGAUCAAGACCAUCCUGGCCAAUAUGAAACCCCAUCUCUACUAAAAAUACAAAAAUUAGCUGGGCGUGGUGGCACGUGCCUGUAAUCCCAGCUACUCGGGAAGCUGAGGCAGGAGAAUCGCUUGAACCCAGGAGGCAGAGGUUGCAGUGAGCCAAGAUCGUGCCCUGCACUCCAGUCUGGUGACAGAGCAAGACUCCAUCUCAAAAAAAUAAAAAUAAAAUAAAAUCAAAGCUUGAAGUUCUUACACCAUGGCACCAGCAAAGACAUGUGCUGUCUUGUCACUGUGCCCAACAGAACAGAUGACUUCUUUCCCAUAUCCCACCCGAUGAUGUUCUGAGAUGGUUUUGAAAUGUUGUCUAGACCACAGUGGGCCUGUCUUACAAACCGCACCUCUGUCAGUGGUGUACCCACACCCGUGUCACUCUAUCCGUGGCCCUGAAGUGCUGUGGAUGAGGGCCACAAGUGAGCUAGAUGUCUCAGAAGACAAAGAGAGAGGCACCUUGUGGGACAGUGUUUAAAUAUUCUCAGUGCCAGAGAGGAAGCUGGGACCCAGCAGAGGUCUGAGUUGACAUGCUGGGCCCUCUCUAAGGCCAGCUGUUGGGGACCAGGUCCUCAAGUCCUGCCAUUGAGACAAGGCAAACGGAACACAUUUCCUCUUCUUUCCACAUUUGUACCAAUAGCCUGGACUGAGUGUCGGGGUCAUCUUGGUGCACGUUCAAGUCCUUCAUUCUUGACAGGUGCUAACUCAGAGAACUCGGUGGGGCCCAGGUCCAACACAGCCAGGUGAGCUGACUCCAGAGCCAGAUCAGAGCUGGGCUUGGGAACCAAAAUCCAAGCAAUUUAUUGAGUCCUCAAAGAAACACUGAACUUUAUUUCACUGAACUACACUUGUAGACCAAUGCAUUGUAGUGGGACCUUCAGCACCAUGGAAUCAGACUCAGAGUGUUUCAUUUUGUUUUCUUUUUCUAGUCUUAUUUUUUGCUUUGUCUUACUUUGACUAGCUUUGUUUCACCUUGUUAGGCAGAAAAUUCAAGGAACAAGAUGAUUCCCUUUAGUUUGAUAUGGAUAAAUAAACAUUAAAU